This 490-nucleotide ribosomal RNA is filed under the name uncultured bacterium. RNAcentral describes it as "partial 16S ribosomal RNA". It matches the Rfam family "Bacterial small subunit ribosomal RNA", at positions 28 to 507 of the family's 1533-position model. The record is from RNAcentral.
GAUGAACGCUCGCUACAGGCUUAACACAUGCAAGUCGCGGGGCAGCAUGGGGGUUGCUUGCAAUCCCCGAUGGCGACCGGCGCACGGGUGAGUAACGCGUAUCCAACCUGCCCUUCACCACGGGACAACCCGGCGAAAGUCGGACUAAUACCGUAUGUUGUCCGUUGACGGCCUCCGAUUUGGACGAAAGGUUUGGCGGUGAAGGAUGGGGAUGCGUCCGAUUAGCUGGACGGCGGGGUGACGGCCCACCGUGGCGACGAUCGGUAGGGGUUCUGAGAGGAAGGUCCCCCACACUGGAACUGAGACACGGUCCAGACUCCUACGGGAGGCAGCAGUGAGGAAUAUUGGGCAAUGGGCGUAAGCCUGAACCAGCCAAGUAGCGUGCAGGAUGACGGCCCUAUGGGUUGUAAACUGCUUUUAUGCGGGGAUAAAGUGGCCCACGUGUGGGUUUUUGCAGGUACCGCAUGAAUAAGGACCGGCUAAUUCCGUG